This 471-nucleotide long non-coding RNA is filed under the name Bos taurus (domestic cattle). RNAcentral describes it as "long non-coding RNA NONBTAT020464". Lineage: Eukaryota; Metazoa; Chordata; Mammalia; Artiodactyla; Bovidae. The record is from RNAcentral.
AAACGUACUUUAGCUGAAGAAGUGGCAUUUAGUAUUUCCUCCCUGUCAAAGAUAACAGUAGUGGCACAAGAAAUUUAUUUAUUAAGGAUAUAAUCCAGGAUGAACUUUAUUGAAAAUUGCCAGGUAUAGCAUUGUUCAUUUACUGAGAACUUAAUCUUCAGUAGGUUGCCUUGAGGUUGUCAUGUGACAGUUCUAGUUCCUCAGCAUUUGAUUCACUGCUUUGCUAGAACUACAGCUGUGCUUCUUCCAAUAGAAAAUUUAAAAAUUAUUAACUGGAUAUAGAAUUAUUUACAAAAUAAUCACCAUACAUGAGCAGUUCUCGUCUAUGAAAGGUUUAACAAAAUAUGACUAAUAUAUGGGGGCAGAAAGGGGGAAUUAUCUUAAAUACAGAACUAAGAGCUAAAGUUCAAGAGUUGUGUUGAUCAAGAGCUUCAUUCAAUCUGGUAAGUGAGUUGUCUUUUUCUAUGAACA